UGGGGGCAACUCCAGUUGAGUGGCGCACGGGUGAGUAACACGUAGGUAAUCUCCCCCCGAGUGGUGGAUAACCCUCCGAAAGGAGAGCUAAUACAGCAUGAGACCACGGGCUCGAAAGAGACUGAGGUCAAAGCGGAGGAUCGCAAGACUUCGCGCUUGGGGAUGAGCCUGCGGCCCAUCAUGGUAGUUGGCGGGGUAAUGGCCCACCAAGCCUUAGACGGGUAGCUGGUCUGAGAGGAUGAUCAGCCACACUGGAACUGAGACACGGUCCAGACUCCUACGGGAGGCAGCAGUGGGGAAUCUUGCGCAAUGGACGAAAGUCUGACGCAGCGACGCCGCGUGGGUGAUGAAGGCCUUCGGG
This 361-nucleotide ribosomal RNA is filed under the name uncultured bacterium. Its description in RNAcentral is "bacterial SSU rRNA". It matches the Rfam family "Bacterial small subunit ribosomal RNA", at positions 74 to 422 of the family's 1533-position model. The record is from RNAcentral.